This 1197-nucleotide long non-coding RNA is filed under the name Scophthalmus maximus (turbot). RNAcentral describes it as "lncRNA (ENSSMAG00000034862.1)". The record is from RNAcentral. Lineage: Eukaryota; Metazoa; Chordata; Actinopteri; Pleuronectiformes; Scophthalmidae.
CUCCCUCCCCAUCACCGCCACCAUGGCACCGGGACGAGGACGCACAACCCGACGUCAUGUUUAAGGGCAAACAAACACAUAAUGAUCGCAGGUCAGCGAUGUCUGAGCUCUGCCACACGAUCCUCAUCACGUACAUGUGGACAAAGCAAAGAGAAGCAGGAGGAAGAUGACGAGGAUGAGGAUGAUAUUACUUCUCUUUUUAAGCCCUGCGGAAAAUAAAAUACGAGAAAACGAGAUUUUAGAAAUGAAAAAAAGGAGAAAUCUCGAUUCGAAGGGAACUUUUAAAAAACGAUAAAACGUUGAAUUAAAAUCUUUUCACUCACUUCUGACAUUAACGUUAAACUGCACAGUUGGAUUCAUUCAUUCUGAUUAAAGAUAUCAAAUGUUUUUUUUGACUUUCAUUUCAAAUUAUUCAAAUUUGAGUCUCGGGGUUGUUUUUGAAAAGUCUUGUGUGUUUCUGUUGGUUGUUUGUUUGUUUUUUUGAAAUGCUGAUUGAUGGAGAUUCUCCCAGCUGAUUUUAUUAAACUGUUUUUUUUUACAGUGCAGAACAGGAACUAAAACUUUAUAUAACCUCUCACACACACACACACACACACACACACACAGUCCAGCGGGUCUGACUGAGCCUCCUUAUGUUCAGAUGAUGAUAAUAAACUUGUGAUGUUUGAAUUUAAAACUUGAUCCUGGAUUCAGAGGAUUUUUAUUCUAAAACUUUUUUCUGUCACUUUUUUUUCAGUUUUGGUUUUGUAAAAAAAAAAAAAGAAUUGGGAAUUUGUUUUAUUUUUAUUUAAAUUUUGUUUUGCACUUUUGUCGUUAGCGUUCACUUGUACCAAACGUGUCCCGUCUGUUUUGUUGCUGUCUGUUAUUUUAUUUUUUCUGAGAGAAACUUUACUUGAUUAAAAAGGAUGAAACAAACCCGACGUGUCUGUCUGACUGAAACAAAUACAUAUUCUUCUUGUAUAUGUCAUUUCUCUCCGUAUACUGUACGUCAAGUGUUUAGGUUUUAGCCGCUGCUUUAAAUUAAAUCUGAACUAAAGUUUUUUUGUUUUAAAAGUUUUCUCUCUCUGUGACAUUCGUCGUACAGAGGCGACUUUUAUUUGAGUAAACAAACUAUUUAUUUCCUUUUUUUUAUUUCUUCAUCGAGAAUUAUGGACAGGGUCACUUUUUAAAUAAAAAUAAAUAAAACACUUAGUUUCA